GACGAACGCUGGCGGCAUGCCUAAUACAUGCAAGUCGUGCGCGGGAAGCAGACUGAUCUCCUUCGGGAGUGACGACUGUGAAACGAGCGGCGGAUGGGUGAGUAUCACGUGGGUAACCUGCCUGUAAGCUUAGGAUAACUCCGGGAAACUGGAGCUAAUACUAGAUAAAGCUUUUUACCUCCUGGUAAAAAGAUGAAAGACGGUUUUGCUGUCACUUACAGAUGGACCUGCGGCGCAUUAGCUAGUUGGUGAGAUAAAAGCUUACCAAGGCAACGAUGCGUAGCCGACCUGAGAGGGUGAACGGCCACACUGGGACUGAGACACGGCCCAGACUCCUACGGGAGGCAGCAGUAGGGAAUCUUCCACAAUGGACGAAAGUCUGAUGGAGCAAUGCCGCGUGAGUGAAGAAGGUUUUCGGAUCGUAAAACUCUGUUGUGAGGGAAGAACAAGUACGGGAGUAACUGUCCGUACCUUGACGGUACCUCAUUAGAAAGCCACGGCUAACUACGUGC
This 512-nucleotide ribosomal RNA is filed under the name uncultured bacterium. RNAcentral describes it as "bacterial SSU rRNA". It matches the Rfam family "Bacterial small subunit ribosomal RNA", at positions 28 to 508 of the family's 1533-position model. The record is from RNAcentral.